RNAcentral lists this signal recognition particle RNA (234 nucleotides) under Candidatus Aegiribacteria sp. RNAcentral describes it as "partial signal recognition particle sRNA large type". It matches the Rfam family "Bacterial large signal recognition particle RNA", at positions 1 to 230 of the family's 256-position model. Rfam says of the family: The signal recognition particle (SRP) is a universally conserved ribonucleoprotein involved in the co-translational targeting of proteins to membranes. Lineage: Bacteria; Pseudomonadati. The record is from RNAcentral.
UCGCGCUAGGCGGGGAGCCAGCGGUGCCCUGUACCCGCAAUCCGCUAUAGCGGGGCCGAAACAUCUGUGCGGCAUUGCGCAGCGGGUUCGUAUUCUCGUAAGCGGUGUUGAUGAUCAGGACCUGCGCGGCGGCAGCCUGUGAACCCCGUCAGGACCGGAAGGUAGCAGCGGUAAGCAGUGUCUGCCGGGCGAUGCGGGCCAACCUGAUCUGAGCCGGCUGCAUUGUACAUCCCG